Molecule: transfer RNA, 73 nt
Filed under: Rhipicephalus sanguineus (brown dog tick)
Lineage: Eukaryota; Metazoa; Arthropoda; Arachnida; Ixodida; Ixodidae
Description: transfer RNA serine (anticodon GCU)
Rfam family: tRNA
About the family: Transfer RNA (tRNA) molecules are approximately 80 nucleotides in length. Their secondary structure includes four short double-helical elements and three loops (D, anti-codon, and T loops).
Source: Rfam by way of RNAcentral
GCCGCGGUGGUAUAGUGGUUAUGGCGCUGGACUGCUGACCCGGAGGUCGCGGGAUCGAAUCCCGGCCGCGGCG